Molecule: long non-coding RNA, 718 nt
Organism: Oncorhynchus tshawytscha (Chinook salmon)
Lineage: Eukaryota; Metazoa; Chordata; Actinopteri; Salmoniformes; Salmonidae
Source: Ensembl
ACCCAAGGUUGGAUACGUUGUAAUAUCACCUGGGAUAAGGAUGCCUGAUGACCCAAGGGUGGAAAUGUUGUAAAUUAAUAUCACCUGGGAUAAGGAUACUGGAGUGAUGGAGGUAGAUAUGUAUAGGGGGAAGGGGACAGGGAUACUGGAGUGAUGGAGGUAGAUAUGUAUAGGGGUAAGGUGACUAUAUACAGGGUCAGUACCAUAUUAACAAUGUACAGGGAUACUGGAGUGUUGGAGGUAGAUAUGUAUAGGGGGAAGGAGACAGGGAUAUUGGAGUGAUGGAGGUAGAUAUGUAUAGGGGGAAGGGGACAGGGAUACUGGAGUGAUGGAGGUAGAUAUGUAUAGGGGGAAGGUGACAGGGAUACUGGAGUGAUGGAGGUAGAUAUGUAUAGGGGGAAGGUGACAGGGAUACUGGAGUGAUGGAGGUAGAUAUGUAUAGGGGGAAGGGGACUAGGUAUCAGGAUAUAUGAUAAACAGAGUAGCAGCAGCUUGUGGGUGUAUAGAGUCAGUAUAAAUGUAUGUGCAUAUUAUGUGUUAGUGAACAGAUGAAGGAGUGAGAGUCUGUGUUAAAGUGACAGUCAGUGUGUAGAGUCCUGUCAGUGUGUAGAGUCCUGUCAGUGUGUAGAGUCCUGUCAGUGUGUAGAGUCCUGUCAGUGUGUAGGGUCCUGUCAGUGUGUAGGGUCCUGUCAGUGUGUAGGGUCCUGUCAGUGUGUAG